Non-coding RNA from Varroa destructor (honeybee mite), 5358 nucleotides. The record is from RefSeq and is a predicted model, not a curated record. Lineage: Eukaryota; Metazoa; Arthropoda; Arachnida; Mesostigmata; Varroidae.
GCUGUAGCAGAACGAUAGCAAACAAUCUAUUAACCUGCACUCAUAUAAGAUAUGUAAAACUGAAUGUGUAUCUACAUGUGAAUUGGUCACAUAAGUGUGGCGUUUUUUCAAUGUAUCUGUAUGCUUUAAGUUUCCUCAUCAAACAAAUAUAAAUAGUCAAGCAAGAAAUAAUCAGUAAUAUUCUCAAAGAAGCUGCUUUACUCUCGUCACGUUUAUUGACUGGGGUUAAAUGAUUUCUUCUGUUAUCUAUCGAAAGUAGACCAUACAAUGUAUAUCCUUUUCUUUGCUUUCAUUCUUUAUACAAUAUAACUAUUAAUAACGAAUGCUAUAGCUGAUACUUAAUUUUCUUUUCUAUGGACUGGAGAAGUAUGGUCACUUUUUUCUUGUUGUAGACAAUAUUCUACCUCUAAAUAUCGUAUAUGACGUUCUCACGCACCUUGCCUGUGAUAUAACGUGAACAUUACAAAAAAGGGGGCAAAUAAAAAUAUGUAUCGGCUCCAAAAUAUUGAAUAUAGCUGUGUCAAUACGGCAUUUUGAUACCAAUCGCCGAAUUUGAUCUCAGAUAUACUAUCUAACGUUUAGUUAUCUGCCAACGGCUAACUCCGAUGGUCAGUUAUGCCACACCUCCAACUAUACUCUAACUAACGUAACUGCUAAGAGCAGCAUUUUGUACCGCAACUACGAACAGCGAUAGCAGAAAUCGAAACGUUAUCCGAAGAAACCUGUAGGAGAUGAUACGAGAGCGAGCCGUGCUGGGUCUGCUGCGCAAAACAUAUGUCUUUCUUUAUCGGGAACUGGGGCUCCCACGAUAGCAUUUGUGCCCUCAAGUCGUUCGAUGGCCACUGUCCAUCUAAGCAAUGCUUCUGCCGCAGUAUUUGCUGUGCCAUGCAGUUCUCCGACAAUAACGAAAUAUCUAAGAAAUUGACGGCCGAUCGGACAGACGCCGACACGAGGACUCUGUUGGACGUUUACGAAGCAGAGCGCCCAAAGUUUAUGACUCGAGGUCUUGUCUGCCGUAAAUUAUGGGACGAAAUCGCGAAAAAGAUUAAUAGCCAGAGGGGUCGGAGAUUUAAGGGAUUUCAUUGCGAAAACAAAUGGAAGGUUUUAUUGCGAAGCUACCGUCGUGCUGGGCGGGCUAAAGAGAAGGGUAACGUCAAUGCCGAACAGUUCAAAAGAACGCACCCUCUGCAUGAGAGAAUUAAUUCCAUACUGACGCAGGAGCCGUCUCGAGACAUAACUGUAUCGAUAAAAGAUACAAAUGUACUAUCUCGGGAGGAACGCCGUGUGUGGAACAUGGCUGACUCCCGAAGAUUGUUGACAUACUUCACGCAGCUACGCCAACGAGACAAGGUCGGUUUUAAUCUCGCAAAAGCCGAAUGGGAAAAAGUUGCCGGCCUCAUCAAUAUAGGCUCAAGGCCGAAAAUAAAGCAUUUACUAUGAAUGGAUCGCAGUGCUACUCCAGAAAGAAAGCCCUCACGUGAGCGGCGGUUGCAAGAUGUUGCACAAGCGUCUAAAAAAGCUGAACGGGGCAUUGGAAGCUGUGCUGAGUCAAAUUCGUCGCCAUCAGUGAUCCAUCCAAAAACUGUUCGCACUCCGAAUGGUGAGUUCGCAGCGUACUUAGCCACUCUCAUCGAUGGGCUCAGUGCGGAGCCCCUAAGGGACAAGACGAUGCAGAACAUUCUUCAAUAUGUGUUCAACUUUCGAAAGAAGGUACGUUUAGAAAAAGCGGCUGCAUUUAUGGCCGGGUCGUCUUGAUAAAAGUUUUUCUUCGUUACAAACAGGACGAAAUGUUAUUGCCAGCGUGAACGAUUAUGAUUAUUAUAUGUGCGUCAAUCUCAUACUACGUGACUGCGGAGGCCAUACCUGCUGUUAUCACAACAGGUAUUCAACAGAAAUUAGACCAGAACAAAGCAGACUCUUCCACGUGAAGUCGUAAUUUCAACAACUCAGCGUCAAGUUGUCCACUCACUGUAUUGAGGCUUGCCUGUGGAAUCAUUCUCUCGUUCAGAGUAUGUGAAAGAUAUUACUUAUCUACCCCAGCAAUCUUGUUUGCAAACCAUAUGAUUGGUUUUACUAACAAACUUCAAAUAUGAUUUGAGCGAUCCCGCCAAGAAUAACUUGUGUAAGGUCUUUUCAAGGUUUAGUUUUAGGGAUAGAAAUAUUAACUUCAGUAGCCGUGUCUUGAAGCAAACAAUCUAAAAGCAGUGUCUUCACUUAGAAAUGCAUAUUGUUUUAGUAAAAAUUCCAGCAUCAACAAAAACCUAAAAAAGAAAUUGAAAAAACAAUAGUAAAAAUUCCAGCAUCAACAAAAACCUAAAAAAGAAAUUGAAACACAUCGUAACCUUUGUUAUUAUGGAAGAUGGAUAUGUAAGAUGAUUUUGGUAAAAGUCACGAUAUUCUUCAUCUAGGUUUCAUCAUUAAGGCUCUUUAUUGUAAUAUAAACUAUUUGCUUAAAUAUAAAUAACAGCUUGUGACUACGGCGGCGAUGCGAACAAAAUAAAAGAGUGUUUAUUAUUGCAUUUUAGUCUUCCUCUGUGUUUAGGCUUACACUUAUCUCAGCACUCUACUAUGAUAGGAUUAGAACCUUUCCACGAGUAUAGAUGAUUGACGAAAGCUUUAAUAAAUUUGCCAGAACUCCAUUGAUUUUUGGUAGUUUUCUCAAAAUCGGUCUCGCUUGUCGACCAGGCUAAGUAUCAUCUCACUGUUGACCUAGAUUUUAUUAGAAGUAAAUCACUUUAGGCGAUCAUAUCAUUUUUAUAGUAUUGACUGUCGCAGGAACUCUUCAGAAAAUAAUGAGUAAUAGACGAAGCCAACACAUAGAUUCUGUCAUUGAAAUACUUAUUAGGUUUUCAGGAAAUAUUAAAGGCUCAAAAAGGUUAACCUUUAAAUUAUCUGAAAUAGAACAACGAUGUUUUGGUAUGUGUUAGAUGUAUCCGCCUUUAUGGUUACUCUAUUGAAGUCGGAACUCUGGGAGUUUUGCAAUAACUGUGUACGCGUGUUCUGCAUUACAAUGCGUAACCUCAUUUUCGAUGGCUUAUUUGGGAAUAUUAAUUUUUAAGAUAGCAACUAUCGUCUCUUCUUGUGCAUCAAAGAAUUUAAGUCACACGGGCUUCAACCUGAAAAUAUGCGAACCGAUGACAUCGUUCAAUUCAGUCUUCCUGAAGCCAGGCCUCGGCUGAAAUUCGAGCGUGGCGACGCCUGCGAUGUCGUCGGGAAUUCAAGAUACCUAUGCAGCACUGACCGUUUCCUUACCAGGCCUUCUCACUUUCGGUUCUUCGCCAAUCUAUGGUUUAUUCUACCAACGCUUCCAUCUUCACGAACCCAAACGAUAGUUUCUAGUGCCGCUCCAUCAUCGUAAACAACCACGGACCUCAUAUUAAUGCUGUUUAGCUUUAAAAUUACUCAAAUUUAAAGAUAACAUCGGUAAAAGAUAACACCAUGCGCUCAGGUUAUAAAAAAACAAGAAAGUUCUUUAUUACACGAAUAUUUUCCCCUUGCAUAGCAAUUAUGGGUCUAUUACAAGAAGGUUCUAGAAAUCAUAUUGUUUGGUAAUAAAAUAGUUUUAUAUAUCAUAUAUUUUUCAUUUAGUAAUAAAAGUAGCAUUGAUAGACGAUUUACGCUAAUGCACUAGAUUGUUUUACAUAAAGUUUCGGUUGUACGUGUCUCACACACAAGUUAAAAAUUAACUUGCUGCUCUUUUGUUCGAUGCCUAGACAGUAAAACUCGAAUGCAGGAGGUAAUUUCUUUUUGCGGCGAAAAUACAAUUCUGCACGCAAUUUAUUUUACGCGUUUGCUUGUUUGUAUCCUGCUGUUAUUAGGUUGUUUUAAAGUAUAAGUCGAAGGUAGCGUUCAACCUAUGGCAGAUUUUCAGUUGGCCAGAAAUUUUCGAAUCAUUCCUAGCCACAACAGCUUCUAGGUUUGUACAGAUGUUUCGAUCGUGAAACAAACACCCGAAAGUCUGUUGCUCUAGCAUUGGUCCCAACAACGACGAUAGCAGCAGCAGCAAAAAUGGAGCCAUCGGCAGAAGGCGUCGCCGGCCCAGGCGGCGCGCUGGUCUGACCACCUACGAACGGAGGGGACCGAGAGAUUCGAUCAUAAGCAGUGAUCUCGAUCGGUAUCUAUCUGUUUAUGAUGCAUACGUAGAGCCGUAAGUUAAAUCUCUUUCUGCGUUUCAUCUGUUUUUUCCCCGCUUGCGACCUAUCGGACCAGCUAACGUCAUCUAGCCGACGCUAUGCGAUAGGCCGCUACGUCAACUGCAGCUGCGCAAUAACGGGAAUCGAAUAGAAUAGUUGCCAUUGUCGUGAUCAUCAUUAAACCGACGUGGCUUUUUAUCUCACCGUCUGAUUCACUGAUGUCCGUUGAAAGAAUCGGAUAUAAUUUAACAUAAGAAUAGAGUAACAUACGUCGCAGUUCUCAAGGUACUUGGUAUACCUACAGAUCAGUGACAAAACUCCAAUAUUUGUAAAAUAUUAAUCCUUUAACUAACAAAUGUGCUUAAUUCGUGCUUUGGACAAUUAUUGUUUUCGCUCAAACUUGUUGCCAUGACAAAAUAUAUAUUUCAUUAUCGGCUACACUCUUAAAAUAUUGUUCUUAAGUGGGGAGCAAAUAUAAUAAAUCUAUCUGUUAUUUAUGCUUUCGAGUAGUGUUUUUUGCUUUGCGUGCUCUAGUUGACCACUGCAUGGCACAGGUCAUGUCAUAGGACCUAUCUCGAGUACUCAAAUACGAUGAACCCAACGAACACUACUAUAUAUUGAUCUAUAAGCUAGCCGCUUGUUGGGUUAAGUAACCAGUGGCCGACUUGUGACAGCCUCUACAAAACUUCUUAUAUUCAUUUACUUGCUUCGGUCGCACUCAAAUUUUGUUUGCCGUUACAUCUUUUCGUGUUCGGUACCUUCUCUGCAAUUCCUAUACAGAUAGCAUUUAGUCUAAUCUCUGAAUGCGGAGCAACCAACAUCGCGGUAAAAGUAGUCGCUAGGCAGAAGUCGUUACAGGAGCAAUGCUUGGAAGCUCUUCCUGGAGCGUCAAUGCCACGAUGCCACUUUAGCAAUCAUCAGGCAGAUAAACGGAAGAGAAGCACCGGCGUUGCUUCUGACGUAAACGUAAGCUCUCAUUAAAUGACUAUGGCAGCGCCUGGCUGAAGCCGGAAUCUAAGAAGAACGUGAGUGUUGCACGGCGCGACGUAAUGGAAACGCGCCUUGAUCCACCCGCACUCAUAUAGGCUCUUCGCUGUACCCACUGUGCCUGUGAUGACUCCUGCUACUGCUAACAUCUAUUGCCACUAGCGUUUUACCGCAACGUCAGGACGCUCCAGGUCUCCGUUCCUACAACAGGCUGCUGUGCUACACGUGUGCAUCGUUU